Nematostella vectensis (starlet sea anemone) is the source of this 1257-nucleotide long non-coding RNA. RefSeq lists it as uncharacterized. Lineage: Eukaryota; Metazoa; Cnidaria; Anthozoa; Actiniaria; Edwardsiidae. The transcript is spliced from 2 exons. The record is from RefSeq and is a predicted model, not a curated record.
UAAUAUCUUCAAUGUUGAAGCGAGUUUAUUGUGAGCGGGAUCGAAACAAUCAUGCAGGGAAAACUCUUCAAAGAAGCAAGGGUACAAUCGAAUACCACAAGAGUAAAAAAAACAACUAACAAACAGGCCGUUGUAAGCAAACCUACCGACAUGAAUUGGAACAACAAUCAGCAACAAAACUGUUGAAAAUUUUAGCGCCUCGAAUGCAGUUUCAGAUGGAAAUCUAAAUUACGUAGCAUAGUGACUUUGAUAUCCUCCUCUCCCCAUCCCAAAUCAAUGUUGGAUUUUCUAACUGACAACAACUUUGAAUGGGGGGAAGGGGGAUGUGAGUAAUAAAAAGUUCCCAUAUUGUAAAUUAUUUGAGUAAGACUACUUUUUAGAUGUCAUUUUUAACAGGUUUUGUCGCUGAUUGUCUAGCAUGAAUGGCCUUAUAUUUUUCGCGAAUUGCAGCGAAAUCGAUGCCUUGGACUGGAUUAAAACUUUAUUUGACGAUUAAAAUAGGCACGAUAAAAUUUAUUUUGGUCAUUUUGAGAGGUAUUAGGCUAAUUCGUGAAAACUAUUGGCGAAAAUUACCAUUUUUUAUGGGUGAAAACGACCCCCAACAAUGAUCACCUAUCAUGUGACGUCAUCCGUGGCGGUAAAUCGUCUAAUAUGCGUCUGCUUCGACCUGCAACGUGUCUCUCUACUGUUAAAGUUUUUCAACUGUACAUGAUUUUUAAACCUGGUAUCCCUAUGUCUGCUUUCAUGGCCAGCCCUUACCCUUCAGGUACUUCAAUCUUCAGCCCAGCUUCUUGUGCUAUGGUUUCUCUCUCCUCUUGGCCCAUCCUUUGCAUCUCAGCCUUUUUCUGCCUUAAGAUGUCAUCACGUUCACCACCACUGAUUUGCUGCCUAAGUGUUUCAACUACAGAAGCUCUACGCUGCACUGUCUUACUGCUGGCAGAUGCACUGUUGGUACGUGGUCGUGGAACAUGGCAAAUCUUCAAUGGCUUAAUAAGAAAGGUUAAGAGGAGACCUGUCAAACGUAGCCAUUGCUCAAGGCAUUUAAAUUAUACAAUGGAAUUUUUUUAGUAAAAACUGAUUUUUUUACUGAAACUGUCAGGUCGAAUCUGGGUAGGCCGAAUGCCCCCCCUAUAUUUGAUAAUUUUUAGUAUAAAGUACCACAAUAUGUAUAAGCCCUUUGAUGUGUCACAGAUGACAUGUUUGUUUAUUUUUCAAAACAAUGCUAUUGUAUGUAUGGAAUAAAUUGAAACUAUACUA